This is a long non-coding RNA of Bombina bombina (fire-bellied toad), 653 nucleotides long. RefSeq lists it as uncharacterized. NCBI's taxonomy places the organism in Eukaryota, Metazoa, Chordata, Amphibia, Anura, Bombinatoridae. The transcript is spliced from 3 exons. The record is from RefSeq and is a predicted model, not a curated record.
UGUUGAUGGAGACUGCAUUUGUGAUUGUCUGCUGCCCCCUAGGGGAUUAAAAAUGGUAUGACAGCCAAAUGGAUUGACUACUAGAACACAUGCAAAUCCACAUGAACCAAUGAGAGGGACAAGCUCCGAGGGCCAAUGGAAAGACAGCUCCGUUAAGGGCUCAAAAUCAAAUUUAUCACCAAUGAUUAGAAAAAGAAAAGGGUGGAAUAUAUCACAUGAUAUAACCUCAUGCAAGGGGAGAGGAAAAAAAAGUAUUUUUGUCUGCUAACUUUUGACUGAAAACUUUGCUGCCAUUUUUGGGGACACAAUCACUAUAAGCAAAACCUAGGACUAAUUUCUUGAUCUAAGUGCAAUACCUUUCUUCAUAUGACCUGAAUCUAUUUGGAAACGCUGGAACAUUUGAUUUGAGUGUCCUGAAGCAUUCAUUGGAGUGCCCUGUUUAAAUCCAAUGAGUAGCCAGUGCCAGCAUGAUGGUGACUGCAACUAUAAUGAGAAGUGCUGCUACAGCGAUUGCACUAAGUUAUGCCUGAGAGUUUCAGAAGGGUCUCAGCCAUAUCGCUUUUAUAGUCCUAAGGAUCCGAUAUUUUAUCGUCGCUAGUACCAACACACCCUCAAGCAAUGCCAAUCGCAUCAGAUUACCAUGUGUAUGAACU